CAGCAUGCCUUGCAAGUGGAGGUGGAGCCAAGUAUGUAGGUACGUAGGUCAAAGGUCUUGGCAUAAGGUCGGGCAGCUGUUAGAGGUUUAGAUGAAGCCUAAGAGAGCUGUCUCCAGGCCAGGGGAGCCAGCUUGGGAGGCCCCAAGCCUGCUGCCUCUUAAAGCGGGUGACUCAGCCUCGCUCUGUCAGUGACACUGGUCACAUGACGGCUGCUGCAGUUCUACGUAUCAGAGCAUUCCAUGUCCACAUUCAAGGUGGGAAGAGUGAAUGAGCUGUACCAGAGAACACUCUGCAUAUCUGUCCUGUUGUAAGAAAGAAAGAUCCUUUCCGGAAGUUCCCAGCAGACUUCCUCUUCCAUCCAGCUGAUUGGAGCAGUGUCACAUGGACACUUGAAGCUGUAGGAGAGACUAAGAAUAAAUCUCUCCUGAAGCUUUCCCAUCUGUGCUUCUCCGGUUGCGUUGCCUUCUGCACCUUCUACACUGCUGCCUCUCUCCUGUACCGAUCUCCUAGGGCAUGUAUUCAGGGAUUUCUUCAUCAGUAAAGCAUACCCUGAAGUGGCUUCCGAAUUAUGAAGAUGAGAUGCAUCCGUUUGAACCUGCUCCUUGAAACUCACGAAGGUCUUGGAGGCUGAAUGAAGCCUAUUUCCUAUAAUCAAGAAAGGGGGACAUCGAAAGGCUUUUGUGCUCAACAGCCCCUCAGUAUCAACAUUGCUGUAGAAGAUUAGGGAAGACAUCCCGUCAUGGUGAGUGAAUGAAGGAAUGAUGUCAAGUGACAUUAUGGGUAGAAGCUAGAGGAUCAAUCACAGCCAGCUCUUAUUAAACCAAGAAGCACACUUCAUGUACACACAAUGGAGAGAGCAAAAGCAAUCAGAAGUAGAUGCAUCCUUAGAGCAUGGUCGAGAAGCUCUCCAAAAACAUUACAAAAUAAAUAAAGAAGAGUGAUAGCCUCUCUGCAGAGAACACCCAAGGCCAGGGUAGCUAAGAAAAAUGGUCGUCAGUGCCGUUCAUCCCCUUUGGUAAACCGGAAUCCAUGU
Molecule: long non-coding RNA, 1034 nt
Organism: Bos taurus (domestic cattle)
Lineage: Eukaryota; Metazoa; Chordata; Mammalia; Artiodactyla; Bovidae
Source: Ensembl